This 253-nucleotide ribosomal RNA is filed under the name uncultured bacterium. RNAcentral describes it as "partial 16S ribosomal RNA". It matches the Rfam family "Bacterial small subunit ribosomal RNA", at positions 524 to 776 of the family's 1533-position model. The record is from RNAcentral.
UACGGGGGGGGCAAGCGUUGUUCGGAAUUACUGGGCGUAAAGGGCUCGUAGGCGGUCAACUAAGUCCGAUGUGAAAUCCCCAGGCUUAACCUGGGAACUGCGUCGGAUACUGGAUGGCUUGAAUUCGGGAGAGGGAUGCAGAAUUCCAGGUGUAGCGGUGAAAUGCGUAGAUAUCUGGAGGAAUACCGGUGGCGAAGGCGGCAUCCUGGACCGACAUUGACGCUGAUGAGCGAAAGCUAGGGGAGCAAACGGG